UACGUAGGGUGCGAGCGUUGUCCGGAAUUAUUGGGCGUAAAGAGCUUGUAGGUGGUUUGUCGCGUCUGCUGUGAAAAUCCGAGGCUCAACCUCGGACUUGCAGUGGGUACGGGCAGACUAGAGUGUGGUAGGGGAGACUGGAAUUCCUGGUGUAGCGGUGGAAUGCGCAGAUAUCAGGAGGAACACCGAUGGCGAAGGCAGGUCUCUGGGCCGAAAACUGACGCUGAGGAGC
Molecule: ribosomal RNA, 232 nt
Filed under: uncultured bacterium
Lineage: Bacteria
Description: partial 16S ribosomal RNA
Rfam family: Bacterial small subunit ribosomal RNA
Source: RNAcentral